RNAcentral lists this long non-coding RNA (1181 nucleotides) under Brassica rapa (field mustard). Its description in RNAcentral is "long non-coding RNA (BRAP_LNC007658)". The record is from RNAcentral. Lineage: Eukaryota; Viridiplantae; Streptophyta; Magnoliopsida; Brassicales; Brassicaceae.
GGGUAUGUAGUUGGAUAGGAGGGUUUGGUCGGGUUAUAAAAUUGGUUCGAAUUUUGGUUUAAAUAUGGUUUACGUUCUAAACCUUUAAAACCAACUUAAAAAUUUGUCUGGGGGGAGUCGGGUUUCGAUAUUCCGGUUUGGGAGGAAAUAGAUUGAAAUAGUUGAAUCGUGUGCAACCGGAAAGAGGUCCAAAGUUUGUGUAGAUUUGUUACUAUAUGAUAGUUAUGGUGUGGAAAUAUGUCGUUAAUCCUUCUUUUUUUGCCAAAGUGCACCCCAUCUUGUUUUAAAUUUUGUAAAAUUUUACAAACAUUUCUCAUAUUUAUACGAAUUUCACAUCUUUGACCAAAAAAAGAGAGAAAUAUUGUUGUAUUACAUUAUAACUAUUUGACGGUACAGCUCAGGCCUCCAAGCUCGGAGAAGCAAGCCUGACCCUUUUUUAACUAUAUUUGUUUGGAAGGAUAUCAUUCUCCCAUUUGUUUUUUAAGGUAAGGUAUUCCAACAAAUCAGCCCAAAAAGAAAGACUUUAGUACAUGCUAGGUAAUAACCCGCGCCUUGCGCGGAAUGUGAUUAUUAAUUUUGUUAUUUUUUAAUAAGGAGACAUUAAUCUGUUUAAUCUGGAUAUCAGUUUGGUGGUAGGUUGUUUUUUUUUUUUUGGUUUUUUCUCCUAGACUAUAACUAUCAUUUUAAAUCAAUAUUUUUUGGUUUGUUCGGUUAAAAUGUUUGAUGUUUUUGUUUUUUUCCUGUGAUAAUCAAAAAAUUACUAUUAUUUAUUUGUUUUCAUGUUAUGAAUCUUAGAUAGUCGUGAUGUCGAACCAAUGGUUUCAUAUUAUAGUUUCUAAACGGAUAAUAGUUAAAAAAGAAAAGAAAAUUAUUAAGUCAAAUCAUUUUACUACAAUUUGGUCAAUAGUGAAAGAAGCAUUAAGAAAAAAAAAUAUUUUAACUUCCAAAAAAUUAGAUAUUACAGCUGUGGUGAAUACUUAGUUAUAAGGUGUUCACGUCAAUGUGCAGAUGUAUGUGUAUGUAAAAGUAUAUAAAGAUGGUUGAUAAAUAUAUAAAGAUAAUUUUAAUUAAUAUUAAAUGACACUUUUUCAAAAUAAUACAUGAAAAAAUAAAUUAUUAAAUGAAAUUAUUUAAAAAAAAAAAUAUUGUAAAAUUUAUAUAAACUAUAAUAUAUCAAAUUG